CUGGAGGCCCUGGUGAUGCAUGAGUGAUGUCACUGAGUGGUGAUGUCACAGUCAUAGCUCAGGAACAAUACCAGGGAAGGUUCAAGAGUCAGAGAAGCAGAGGCAGGUAAAGAUGACCAGCGGGCGACGAAGAUGUCAAACACAGCCACAGAAGAACUGUAAUGGUGACUUAGAGCAAUUCCUGAGUCUCCCAGUGCUCUUCCAGGGGUUUGGGGCUUGAGGGAUUUGAACAACUUCUUUGCUGCAUAGACAAUGAGUGUGAUCACUGUAGUGAGUAAAACCUUAGUUUUAACUAAAUAUUAUGGUGAUCUCUUUGAAUCUUAAGGUUCGAAGGAAGUUUGAAAGUUGUCUAACUCAGUCUCCCAAAGUCACCCAAGCAGAAGCCGAUGGGGUCUCAUUUGCCACAUCAGUACCUGAUCCAGAGCGAUGGCGCAUCUGAUGAGAAUCCAAUUCUUAUUGGAUACUGAGGCUCUUCUUGCUAUGGGUAGUUAUAGUUAGAGGUUUUUCUUUUGUUUGUUUGUUUAGAGUGUCACACAUGCUUUGUGGGCAGAGGGUGUCACAUGUCACAUGUCUAAGAGAAAGUAUGUGCCAACUAAAGGAGAAAUUCUCAGGCAACAGCAGCGUUAACUUCAGGAAUAAAUGCAUUUUUUAAAUUAUGAAGAAAAUAUUUAAGUAAGCCUCUCUUGCAUACCCAAAGGAGGCCAGGAGCUAAGUCUCAGGUAAGAGAAGAGGGGUGCACUGGUGCUGAGCUGAGGUGGAGGAAGAGACAGACAUGUCACAUAAUACUACUCAGGAGGUAUCCCAGGAAGAGCGCUUGGAAGGAUCUCCGGUGUUUGUAGACAUUUGACUCAUCAUUGGAAAGCCUCUCUUCCGUUUACCUGGAGACAAAACUGAAUAGGUGAGGAAAACUCAAGAAGAGCCCACCAGGAAGGAAACAGGAGCUUAAGGAGACUGGGUGUGGCCAUGGGAUGUAGAGGAGAGGAAAAAUUCUAUGAGUGUUGAGCCUGGUGACCCAGGAGUCAGGAGGUGGGGGAAGGUUUGUGGAAUGCACAAGAGUGGAGGAGCCACCCCAAACUGGACCUUUUUGUGAAAUCUUCUGUGAGCUGGACAAGCCUUUAAGAAUGAAUGCUUUGCGGCAGGGGUGGCAAGUAAAAAUCACUCAUUUACAGCGUACUCUAAAGAUAAAUUCAGGACUCAGUAGUUACUUUUGCCUUAUAAGUAUUGCCCCACGGUAUCCAGGGUGCUGGCUGAUGACUUUGAUGCCCCCAGAUUUAAUUAUCAUGCAACCCAUUAGCCCAGAGACAGAGGAUGUUUAGUUCAACAUGUCACGCUUGUAUGUAGUUCAUUCGGUGAAAACCAUCGCUCACAAAGGAAACCGAUUUAGAAAUGAUUCAGAAUAGGGAACCUUUAUAGUUAUGAAGCUCUGAAUUUUCAUCCUCGGAACUGGACAAUUAAAAGUUGGGCAGAAUAAUUUUAGUAUGUGAAAGCUUUUUCCACAUAGGACAAGAAAGCCUUUACCUCAUGGAUUUUGUGGAGAAAAAUUUCAGUUCACUGUUCUCCUGUUUGAAUCAUUAUGACCAAGUAGGAGAGAAUGAGGAUCUGUUCCAGUGGGAAAUAUUUAAAUUAGGAGAGAUUAAAAAAAUAUCUACAAUUAUUUUGUAUCAUCUCCAAGGGAACCUCACUUUAAUAAUAUCCUAGGAAAUUUCCAUCUGGAAUAGAAAAGACAAUGGAAUCCAAAUAUGGGUGUCCUAGUGCAUGCAUACGGUGCUGUUAGUAGCCAAACUUCUGGCUUUGUUAUGCUUUGUGAAAGUUCUAGUAGAUCUUGACCUUCGUUUUUUGGGAGACCUUCAAUAUGUUACUGAGCUGAAAUGUAGGUCCAAAUGUUAUGUUAGCCCACAGUCCAGAAUAAAUCUUUUGCAACUUU
Molecule: long non-coding RNA, 1924 nt
Organism: Felis catus (domestic cat)
Lineage: Eukaryota; Metazoa; Chordata; Mammalia; Carnivora; Felidae
Exons: 2
Source: RefSeq, a predicted model, not a curated record